AUUGAACGCUAGCGGGAUGCUUUACACAUGCAAGUCGAACGAGUGGCGGACGGGUGAGUAAUAUAUCGGAACGUGCCCAGUCGCGGGGGAAAACUACUCGAAAGAUUGGCUAAUACCGCAUACUAUGGUAGCGGCCGAUAUCGGAUGAGCUAGUUGGUGGGGUAAAGGCUCACCAAGGCAACGAUCCGUAGCAGGUUUGAGAGGACGACCGGCAACACUGGGACUGAGACACGGCCCAGACUCCGACGGGAGGCAGCAGUGGGGAAUUUUGGACAAUGGGGGAAACCCUGAUCCAGCCAUCCCGCGUGUAUGAGAAGGCCUUCGGGUGGUAAAGUACUUUUGGCAGAGAAGCGGUAUCUGCAGAAUAAGCACCGGCUAACUACGUGCCAGCAGCCGCGGUAAUUC
This 405-nucleotide ribosomal RNA is filed under the name uncultured bacterium. RNAcentral describes it as "partial 16S ribosomal RNA". It matches the Rfam family "Bacterial small subunit ribosomal RNA", at positions 30 to 526 of the family's 1533-position model. The record is from RNAcentral.